CGAUGACGUCCAAGGAUGAAAGUCUUUGGACCAAAGGUGUGAUUCCGCCUGGAGACGGGUCCGCGUCCUAUUAGCUUGUUGGUAGGGUAACGGCCUACCAAGGCUACGAUGGGUAGCGGGUGUGAGAGCACGACCCGCAUCACUGGGACUGAGACACUGCCCAGACACCUACGGGUGGCUGCAGUCGAGGAUCUUCGGCAAUGGGCGAAAGCCUGACCGAGCGACGCCGCGUGCGGGAUGAAGGCCUUCGGGUUGUAAACCGCUGUCAGUGGGGAGGAAAUAUUAGAGGGUACUCUCUCUAGUUUGACCUAUCCGCAGAGGAAGGACGGGCUAAGUUCGUGCCAGCAGCCGCGGUAAUACGAACCGUCCUAACGUUAUUCGGAUUUACUGGGCUUAAAGGGUGCGUAGGCGGCCCGGUAAGUUGGGUGUGAAAUCCCUCGGCUCAACCGAGGAAUGGCGCUCAAAACUGCCGGGCUUGAGGAAGAUAGAG
RNAcentral lists this ribosomal RNA (490 nucleotides) under uncultured bacterium. Its description in RNAcentral is "bacterial SSU rRNA". It matches the Rfam family "Bacterial small subunit ribosomal RNA", at positions 171 to 656 of the family's 1533-position model. The record is from RNAcentral.